This 66-nucleotide transfer RNA is filed under the name Erianthus versicolor. RNAcentral describes it as "tRNA-Pro". The record is from RNAcentral. Lineage: Eukaryota; Metazoa; Arthropoda; Insecta; Orthoptera; Chorotypidae.
CAGAUGUUAGUUUAUUUAAAAUACUGGUUUUGGAGACCAUUGAAGGAUUAAUUUUUCUACUUCUGA